This 76-nucleotide transfer RNA is filed under the name Salinisphaera japonica YTM-1. Its description in RNAcentral is "tRNA-Ala". It matches the Rfam family "tRNA". Rfam says of the family: Transfer RNA (tRNA) molecules are approximately 80 nucleotides in length. The record is from RNAcentral. Lineage: Bacteria; Pseudomonadati; Pseudomonadota; Gammaproteobacteria; Salinisphaerales; Salinisphaeraceae.
GGGGCUGUAGCUCAAUUGGGAGAGCACCUGCUUUGCAAGCAGGAGGUCGUCGGUUCGAUUCCGACCAGCUCCACCA